AAUUUUGGACAAUGGGGGCAACCCUGAUCCAGCAAUACCGCGUGUGUGAAGAAGGCCUGCGGGUUGUAAAGCACUUUAGGUGUGGAGAAAGGCUUAGCGGUGAAUAGCCGUUAGGAUUGAUGUUACACACAGAAUAAGCACCGGCUAACUCUGUGCCAGCAGCCGCGGUAAUACAGAGGGUGCGAGCGUUAAUCGGAAUUACUGGGCGUAAAGCGCAUGUAGGUGGGAUAUUAAGUUUGAUGUGAAAGCCCUGGGCUUAACCUGGGAAUGGCGUUGAAGACUGGUAUUCUAGAGUUUGAUAGAGGGUCGUGGAAUUUCCGGUGUAGCGGUGAAAUGCGUAGAGAUCGGAAAGAACACCAGUGGCGAAGGCGGCGACCUGGGUCAAAACUGACACUGAGAUGCGAAAGCGUGGGGAGCAAAC
This 421-nucleotide ribosomal RNA is filed under the name uncultured bacterium. RNAcentral's name for it is "bacterial SSU rRNA". It matches the Rfam family "Bacterial small subunit ribosomal RNA", at positions 360 to 773 of the family's 1533-position model. The record is from RNAcentral.